Molecule: ribosomal RNA, 1489 nt
Filed under: uncultured bacterium
Lineage: Bacteria
Description: bacterial SSU rRNA
Rfam family: Bacterial small subunit ribosomal RNA
Source: RNAcentral
AGAGUUUGAUCCAUGGCUCAGGAUGAACGCUGGCGGCGUGCUUAACACAUGCAAGUCGAACGAUGAAGCCCAGCUUGCUGGGUGGAUUAGUGGCGAACGGGUGAGUAACACGUGAGUAACCUGCCCUUGACUCUGGGAUAAGCCUGGGAAACUGGGUCUAAUACCGGAUAGGAACGUCCACCGCAUGGUGGUUGUUGGAAAGAUUUAUCGGUCAUGGAUGGACUCGCGGCCUAUCAGCUUGUUGGUGAGGUAAUGGCUCACCAAGGCGACGACGGGUAGCCGGCCUGAGAGGGUGACCGGCCACACUGGGACUGAGACACGGCCCAGACUCCUACGGGAGGCAGCAGUGGGGAAUAUUGCACAAUGGGCGAAAGCCUGAUGCAGCGACGCCGCGUGAGGGAUGACGGCCUUCGGGUUGUAAACCUCUUUCAGUAGGGAAGAAGCGAAAGUGACGGUACCUGCAGAAGAAGCACCGGCUAACUACGUGCCAGCAGCCGCGGUAAUACGUAGGGUGCGAGCGUUAUCCGGAAUUAUUGGGCGUAAAGAGCUCGUAGGCGGUUUGUCGCGUCUGUCGUGAAAGUCCGGGGCUUAACCCCGGAUCUGCGGUGGGUACGGGCAGACUAGAGUGCAGUAGGGGAGACUGGAAUUCCUGGUGUAGCGGUGGAAUGCGCAGAUAUCAGGAGGAACACCGAUGGCGAAGGCAGGUCUCUGGGYCUGUAACUGACGCUGAGGAGCGAAAGCAUGGGGAGCGAACAGGAUUAGAUACCUGGUAGUCCAUGCCCGUAAAACGUUGGGCACUAGGUGUGGGGACCAUUCCACGGUUUCCGCGCCGCAGCUAACGCAUUAAGUGCCCCGCCUGGGGAGUACGGCCGCAAGGCUAAAACUCAAAGGAAUUGACGGGGGCCCGCACAAGCGGCGGAGCAUGCGGAUUAAUUCGAUGCAACGCGAAGAACCUUACCAAGGCUUGACAUGUUCUCGAUCGCCGUAGAGAUACGGUUUCCCCUUUGGGGCGGGAUCACAGGUGGUGCAUGGUUGUCGUCAGCUCGUGUCGUGAGAUGUUGGGUUAAGUCCCGCAACGAGCGCAACCCUCGUUCCAUGUUGCCAGCACGUCAUGGUGGGGACUCAUGGGAGACUGCCGGGGUCAACUCGGAGGAAGGUGGGGACGACGUCAAAUCAUCAUGCCCCUUAUGUCUUGGGCUUCACGCAUGCUACAAUGGCCGGUACAAUGGGUUGCGAUACUGUGAGGUGGAGCUAAUCCCAAAAAGCCGGUCUCAGUUCGGAUUGGGGUCUGCAACUCGACCCCAUGAAGUCGGAGUCGCUAGUAAUCGCAGAUCAGCAACGCUGCGGUGAAUACGUUCCCGGGCCUUGUACACACCGCCCGUCAAGUCACGAAAGUCGGUAACACCCGAAGCCGGUGGCCUAACCCUUGUGGGGGGAGCCGUCGAAGGUGGGACCAGCGAUUGGGACUAAGUCGUAUCAGGUAACCGUA